UACGGGGGGGGCAAGCGUUGUUCGGAAUUACUGGGCGUAAAGGGCUCGUAGGUGGCCAACUAAGUCAUACGUGAAAUCCCUCGGCUUAACCGGGGAACUGCGUCUGAUACUGGAUGGCUUGAGUUUGGGAGAGGGACGCGGAAUUCCAGGUGUAGCGGUGAAAUGCGUAGAUAUCAGGAGGAACACCGGUGGCGAAGGCGGGUCUCUGGGCCGAAACUGACGCUGAGGAGCGAAAGCGUGGGGAGCAAACAGG
This 253-nucleotide ribosomal RNA is filed under the name uncultured bacterium. RNAcentral describes it as "partial 16S ribosomal RNA". It matches the Rfam family "Bacterial small subunit ribosomal RNA", at positions 524 to 776 of the family's 1533-position model. The record is from RNAcentral.